AAUAUAAAUAUAAUUAUACCGGGUGUAUGUUUUGGUUUAACCGUUUAAUUUUUUCGGUUUUUCUUCUGAAAUUUUUUGUUUUCAAAUUACAUCAGAGAAAUUAAAACAAUAAAGAAUCUAUGUAAUAUGUAUGGAGUAAGUGUGAGAGUGUAAGAAUUUAUUUCAGAUACCUAGUUGUUUCUAUGAUACCCAGUUACCCACUUAUUAGCCUCAUUUAAUUAAGGAUUCUGCUGAAAGACAAGAUUACAUCACAUCAUUUUAUCCAAUUUGUCACAUUUAAACUAUGAACUUUUUUGAAAGAUUAUUUGGCUUUGGAUUUAAAAAUGAGUCUGGAAAUAAUUUUGAUUCAUUCAAAGGUAAACAACCAGACAAUCAUAUUGAGGAAGCUAGAGAUUCCUUGCAUAUGCGAUCCUUUUUUGAGGACGAAAUAGAUUCUUUUAUAGAAUCUAUGGGACUCCCGAGUUUGCCACAGUUAUUUGGUAAGUAUUCCGCCUAUUUAUGUGAUUAAC
Molecule: long non-coding RNA, 509 nt
Organism: Sitophilus oryzae (rice weevil)
Lineage: Eukaryota; Metazoa; Arthropoda; Insecta; Coleoptera; Curculionidae
Exons: 3
Source: RefSeq, a predicted model, not a curated record